Molecule: non-coding RNA, 403 nt
Organism: Microcebus murinus (gray mouse lemur)
Lineage: Eukaryota; Metazoa; Chordata; Mammalia; Primates; Cheirogaleidae
Source: RefSeq, a predicted model, not a curated record
AUGUUUUGUCCAGGAGAAGAAACCCAGACUGUAGAUAGGGCCAUGGCUGGAAAUUUGCAGGAAGAACAGGAGUUACUGAACUGUCAUUAAUAGAGGAUUUUCUUAGGUGUCAGGAUUGCAGAAGAUUUAUUGAUUUAUCAGGAGAAAGUUGCCAUCACACAAUAUUGAGUUUGCAAUAAGGUUUUCUGGGUUGGGACAUUUUGUUUUGGAUUCUAUGAUCCCCCGUACAAGCGACCACACCCGAGCAGUCUCUCCCUCACCACCUCAGAGCACUUGCUGCUACCAUGUGACGAGGUCUUCUGGGUGAGAAGAUUGUGUUUUCAAUUCUAUUUCUCCCGCAUGUGUUCCCCGUCUAGAAGAAUCCAAUUCCAAAUGACUUUGAAACUUCUGUAUUUGCUAAGCA